This 700-nucleotide ribosomal RNA is filed under the name Achlya americana. Its description in RNAcentral is "LSU rRNA". It matches the Rfam family "Eukaryotic large subunit ribosomal RNA", at positions 49 to 648 of the family's 3401-position model. Lineage: Eukaryota; Oomycota; Saprolegniomycetes; Saprolegniales; Achlyaceae. The record is from RNAcentral.
AGCGGAGGAAAAGAAACUAACAAGGAUUCCCCCAGUAACGGCGAGUGAAGCGGGAAGAGCUCAAGCUUAAAAUCUCCAUGUUUUACAUGGCGAAUUGUAGUCUAUUGAGGCUGUUGUCAGCAUAGCGAUUUGGGAUAAGUCCCUUGGAAAAGGGCAGCACAGAGGGUGAUACUCCCGUCUUUGCUCAGAUUGUCUAUGUGUACGAUACGCUUUCUUUGAGUCGAGUUGUUUGGGAAUACAGCUCAAAGUAGGUGGUAAAUUCCAUCUAAAGCUAAAUAUUGGUGCGAGACCGAUAGCGAACAAGUACCGUGAGGGAAAGAUGAAAAGAACUUUGAAAAGAGAGUUAAAGAGUACCUGAAACUGUUGAAAGGGAACCGUAACAUGUCCAGUGUUGUAUCUUGUGCAUAUUUCAUUAGUGGAGUAAUUUACUGGUGCCCUGUGCAUGAGUGUGACGUCAAAGUCAGUUUGUAUGCUGCGGGAGAUGGUUAGCAAGGAGGUGCGUCACUUUUGUGUCAGUUAUACCUUGUUAUCUAGUAGCCGUGGUUGAGACUGAGGUGCCUACAACAUGCUUAUAGAGUAUAUUGUUGUCUCGUUAUUAUACCUGUUUGGAUAGCUUGCUAUGCUGAUGGUCUAUAAUGGCGAUUGAUGAUGGUAUUAACUUUUUGCUGUUCGGGACUUUGACGAAAUGGAAUGUUACGAC